GUGAGGAAUUUUCCGCAAUGGGCGAAAGCCUGACGGAGCAAUGCCGCGUGCAGGAAGAAGGCCUUCGGGUUGUAAACUGCUUUUGUACGGAACGAAACGGUCCUGGUUAAUACCUGGGGCUAAUGACGGUACCGUAAGAAUAAGCACCGGCUAACUACGUGCCAGCAGCCGCGGUAAUACGUAGGGUGCGAGCGUUAAUCGGAAUUACUGGGCGUAAAGCGUGCGCAGGCGGUGCUGUAAGACAGGCGUGAAAUCCCCGGGCUCAACCUGGGAAUUGCGCUUGUGACUGCAGUGCUGGAGUACGGCAGAGGGGGAUGGAAUUCCGCGUGUAGCAGUGAAAUGCGUAGAUAUGCGGAGGAACACCGAUGGCGAAGGCAGUCCCCUGGGCCUGUACUGACGCUCAUGCACGAAAGCGUGGGGAGCAAACAGGAUUAGAAACCCCUGUAGUCC
This 450-nucleotide ribosomal RNA is filed under the name uncultured bacterium. Its description in RNAcentral is "partial 16S ribosomal RNA". It matches the Rfam family "Bacterial small subunit ribosomal RNA", at positions 354 to 796 of the family's 1533-position model. The record is from RNAcentral.